AACUGAUUGUGUGAACCAUGUCAUUCAACUCACUUGCUGCAUUUUUGUUAAAGGUCACUUGAGGUUUUCAGAUAUUAUAUUGCGAAGGCUGUUUAAUAAUGCUAGAAUGCUUAGCGUUUCUACAGUUUUUAAUUUAUUUGGUAAAUUCAUUGACGACUGCAA
Aedes aegypti (yellow fever mosquito) is the source of this 162-nucleotide long non-coding RNA. RefSeq lists it as uncharacterized. The record is from RefSeq and is a predicted model, not a curated record. The transcript has 2 exons. Lineage: Eukaryota; Metazoa; Arthropoda; Insecta; Diptera; Culicidae.